This 253-nucleotide ribosomal RNA is filed under the name uncultured bacterium. RNAcentral describes it as "partial 16S ribosomal RNA". It matches the Rfam family "Bacterial small subunit ribosomal RNA", at positions 524 to 776 of the family's 1533-position model. The record is from RNAcentral.
UACGUAGGGUGCGAGCGUUAAUCGGAAUUACUGGGCGUAAAGAGUGCGUAGGCGGUUCUUUGUGUCCGGUGUGAAAGCCCCGGGCUUAACCUGGGAAUGGCAGUGGAAACUAGAGAACUUGAAUCUGGCAGAGGGGGGUGGAAUGCCACGUGUAGCAGUGAAAUGCUUAGAUAUGACAUAGAACACCAAUGGCGAAGGCAGCUUACUACACAAAUAUUGACGCUGAGGCACGAAAGCGUGGGGAUCAAACAGG